GUCUGUCCAAGCUGAGCAAGGAAGGCUGUACGAGUGAUGACACAGUUGCACGUGAGAAGUGGACGUUGAUCAGCAACAUCUGCGACAUGGUUCUAGAAGACUUGCAGAGUGAAAAGUUUAUCUGUGCAGUUUGCAAAAUUAAGCGGAAAUCCUGUAUGCUGUACCCUUGUGGCCAUUAUUCCCUGUGUGAGGACUGUGCUAAUCAGAUGCUGCUAGGGAGGAGGGAGUGUCCGAUAUGUAAACAGCAUGUCACGUCACACACUCGGGUGUACGAGUAAGGGAGUGUCCGAUAUGUAAACAGCAUGUCACGUCACACACUCGGGUGUACGAGUGAGGGAGUGUCCGAUAUGUAAACAGCAGGUCACAUCACACACUCGGGAGUACGAGUGAGGGAG
Haliotis rubra (blacklip abalone) is the source of this 395-nucleotide long non-coding RNA. RefSeq lists it as uncharacterized. Lineage: Eukaryota; Metazoa; Mollusca; Gastropoda; Lepetellida; Haliotidae. The record is from RefSeq and is a predicted model, not a curated record. The transcript has 3 exons.